This 463-nucleotide ribosomal RNA is filed under the name uncultured bacterium. RNAcentral describes it as "bacterial SSU rRNA". It matches the Rfam family "Bacterial small subunit ribosomal RNA", at positions 29 to 534 of the family's 1533-position model. The record is from RNAcentral.
AACGAACGCUGGCGGCAUGCCUAACACAUGCAAGUCGAACGAGACCUUCGGGUCUAGUGGCGCACGGGUGCGUAACACGUGGGAAUUUGCCUCGGGGUAUGGAAUAACUCAGGGAAACUUGAGCUAAUACCAUAUAAUGUCUUCGGACCAAAGAUUUAUCGCCCUGAGAUAAGCCCGCGUAGGAUUAGCUAGUUGGUGGGGUAAAGGCUCACCAAGGCGACGAUCCUUAGCUGGUCUGAGAGGAUGAUCAGCCACACUGGGACUGAGACACGGCCCAGACUCCUACGGGAGGCAGCAGUGGGGAAUAUUGGACAAUGGGCGAAAGCCUGAUCCAGCAAUGCCGCGUGAGUGAUGAAGGCCUUAGGGUUGUAAAGCUCUUUUGCCCGGGAUGAUAAUGACAGUACCGGGAGAAUAAGCUCCGGCUAACUCCGUGCCCAGCCGAGCCGCGGUAAAGUGACUACUG